RNAcentral lists this ribosomal RNA (529 nucleotides) under uncultured bacterium. Its description in RNAcentral is "bacterial SSU rRNA". It matches the Rfam family "Bacterial small subunit ribosomal RNA", at positions 981 to 1509 of the family's 1533-position model. The record is from RNAcentral.
UUGACAUCCAGAGAAUUUAGCAGAGAUGCUUUAGUGCCUUCGGGAACUCUGAGACAGGUGCUGCAUGGCUGUCGUCAGCUCGUGUUGUGAAAUGUUGGGUUAAGUCCGCAACGAGCGCAACCCUUUAUCCUUUGUUGCCAGCACGUAAUGGUGGGAACUCAAAGGAGACUGCCGGUGAUAAACCGGAGGAAGGUGGGGAUGACGUCAAGUCAUCAUGGCCCUUACGAGUAGGGCUACACACGUGCUACAAUGGCGUAUACAAAGAGAAGCGACCUCGCGAGAGCAAGCGGACCUCAUAAAGUGCGUCGUAGUCCGGAUUGGAGUCUGCAACUCGACUCCAUGAAGUCGGAAUCGCUAGUAAUCGUAAAUCAGAAUGUUACGGUGAAUACGUUCCCGGGCCUUGUACACACCGCCCGUCACACCAUGGGAGUGGGUUGCAAAAGAAGUAGAUAGCUUAACCUUCGGGAGGGCGUUUACCACUUUGUGAUUCAUGACUGGGGUGAAGUCGUAACAAGGUAAGCGUAGUGCU